RNAcentral lists this long non-coding RNA (16415 nucleotides) under Fragaria vesca (wild strawberry). RNAcentral describes it as "long non-coding RNA (FVES_LNC000066)". The record is from RNAcentral. Lineage: Eukaryota; Viridiplantae; Streptophyta; Magnoliopsida; Rosales; Rosaceae.
ACAGAACACAACUUGCAGACAGAAUACCAACACAUACAACAGAUGGAUCGCAUCUUUUAGGAUCCUCAACAUGUAUAACCCAAUUUAUCAUUACCCAGAAACAAAAAGCGUCACUGCACCGUACCACCACAACAGUUAAUAGCUACAAAAACCUUUAGGUUCUAAUAAGCCAAUUUUGUUCUCAAUAGACAAUUAGAACAUGACGUCGCUAUGCUUCCAUAGUUCCAAAUGCAUAAAGUAUGCCAGGAGAACAUCCCAACUUGAAUUUUGUGGCCACAAAAUUUAGCGAAGAGAAAAAACUGCUAGCUUUCUAUAUACACACACACAACAUCAGGUUAUGCAUAUAAUCGCUUGCCAAUCAAAAAUUGUAGAAGAAAUUUUGCUAAAAUUGUAAGGAGGUGUGUAUGCCUUAGUAUAAUAAGGAACCCGACACACUUGACCAUAAAGCAUAAGCUCACAUCAGAUUCCAGAAACGCAAACAAUCCAUUGACAGAACAAUUGUUAUAUAAAUGUACAAAGAUAUCACCCACUGCUGAAAAGAUAACAACUGAACUUUGGUAUUAUAUUCAAUAUUUGAAUGUACUGGCAACUUCACAUGCAUCCCAUCUCUUUUCAUUUCAUUGUUAACCUUUAAUUUCCUACAAACCAUGAAACCAUAACGAAAGCAUGGAUGGUAGCAAAAUAACUUAUUGAUGAGCACCGAAGAUCAGAUGCUCACCACGAUUUAUCUAGCUUAUCGAAGAAGUACAAACCUUCCAGAUCAGUAAUACACACAUAGAAGAAUAACUCCACAAAAUUUCAAGUCAAAACGGAUUCUUACAUCCUAAUCAAACUCGAGUUCAAAACAGCAACACUGCAUAACAUAGACACAAUUUCAGCAUAGAGCACUCAACUUCAGAAAAUCACUACAAAGCGCCUACCCUAUCAAAUAGUAUCAAACUUUCUAGAUCAAGAGUUCACAUAUGGAAGAAAAAGAGUACAAAGUUUCAGAGCAAAUGGAGUCCUAAAUCUUGAUCAAAAUCAGACUCAAAAACAGCUGCACACAUAACACGAAUACAAUUUCAAACAUGUGAACAAAGUACAAUGAAGAAAGAUGUAUACACUGUUCCUUGUCCAACCCAUUUUGCCCCGCAGCAUAAUAGGAAAGCCAUGUGCAGUACUUUUUAGUUUGGAUAAGUUUAUGCCACACAUCAUAAUCCUUUUAUUUUAAGGAUCCUCUUCAUCGAUGUAGAAUCAUGUAUCAAUUCAAUCCAAUUCGAUCAAUUCAAUCUUAUUAGUGUUUAACAUGCAUCCACAUCCACAUCAAAGCCAAAAAUUGAAACCUUGAAAUGAAUAAUGAACCCCUCCUCUUCAUUGAUGUAGAAUCGUUGAGCUUCUGAAGCUCAUAACCUGCAAAAUCACCUUGUUCUUGUUGCCAAACCCAAAUUAAUUUUCAUCAGUCCCUCUCUAUCAGUAAGACACCGUAGUGGAAAGAAAAACAGUCGCACAGUGCGACGAAAAAUAGUAUGUUAAAUCCUCAUUGGACUAAUUGGAUAUGGUCAACUUAACCUUUUGGAUCAGAAUACAAAUAGAACACAAAAACCAUGGGUCGGUGGUAUUGUAAAUUGAAAGAAAAUAGAGGGGUAUAUAAGUCAAAGUGGGGGUGAAUAAGUACCCAAUGUAUCUAACCAUCCAUCCAUCCAAACCAUUAUUUUUUCUCUCUCUAAAAAUAUCUGGUUUUCUCUCUCUAGAGAGGUCUCUGUAAAUCGUCUGAAUCAAAAAGAUCAAAUCUUUGGGUUUAGUUUUUUUUUUUUUUUUCGCGGGAAGAGAUGUCAGGUAAAGGCGCCAAGGGUUUGAUUCAUGGCAAAGGAGCCAGCAACAGCAAAGAUAAGGACAAGAAGAAACCCACCUCCCGAUCCUCACGAGCUGGCCUUCAGGUGAUUACCUUUGCUUCUUUGUUCUUGUUUUUUCUUGAUUUUGGGAUUUUAGGGUUUCGAAUUUGAUUGUUGAGGUUGAGUUUGGGGGGUUUAAUUUGGUAAAGAUUGGAACUUUUUUUGGUUUUGGUAUUGGGUUUUGGUUUGUUUUGGUGAUGAGAAAGCGAAUUAGAAUACCCACAUGGGUUUGGGAACUUAAAAGAUUUAGUUUUUACGGAUGAAUAAUAGUUGUUGAAUUGAGAGUUGAUUUGGAUCGUUUUGGAAGGGCAUGAUUUUGUGUUUUUUCCUUAAACCAUGUUUGUUAGGAGAACCAUAAUCCGAUUGAAGAGUUUGAACUUGAUAGAGAUUUGAUAGAUAGAUACAUUGGAGGGGUGAAUUUUGAAGUUUGAAGUGUCUCGCUCCUCUGGAACAUGCUCUAUUCUAGAUUGUUGUUUACAUUAUGAAUUUUCAGGGUAUAACUGUUUCGAUAAGAUUGUGGAUGUCUAGAAGACUAGAAUAGACUAUGCUUGCUCUAUGUGUCUUGGUAAACAUGAUUGAGUCUUCCUACUCAUAGUAAACAGUUUAAAGUUUCUAAAAGUCCUACCUGAAUCUGUUAGAGAAGUACCAGCUAUACAAUAGAAAUAAUUUCGGUAUAUGAUGUUGAUUACAUAAGUUGUUGGAAUGAUGAUAAACCUACUUAUUUAUAUGAUGUUAGAGACGGAGGAUCCUAAUUAGAUACCUGCAAUCUCCCAAUUAUUAACUUUCAUGAAUAGACUCUCUAGUGGUGAGGGAACGAAGGGUUUGAAUGUAAGAAAGUAGAAACUUCUUAAGACUUUCAUUUAAAAACAUAGCUUCAGCCGUAUGUUAUGAACUUCCAAAGUGUUUCUCUGUCUCACUUUUUGUCCAUUAUUUUCAAGUCAGUUUAUGGACUAUACUAGAGUUGUUGAAUUUCUGCCAUCUACUAAUUCUGUGGUGACAAAUUUCUAGUUCCCGGUGGGUCGUAUCCACCGUCUCCUGAAGCAAAGGACCACAGCUAAUGGGAGAGUGGGAGCGACUGCUGCAGUUUAUUCUGCAGCUAUCUUGGAGUAUCUAACUGCUGAAGUUUUAGAGUUGGCAGGCAAUGCCAGCAAAGAUCUGAAGGUGAAGCGUAUCACUCCCAGGCAUUUGCAGCUUGCAAUCCGUGGUGACGAAGAACUUGAUACUCUGAUAAAAGGUACCAUUGCUGGUGGAGGUGUCAUCCCUCACAUUCACAAGUCACUUAUCAACAAGUCCACCAAGGAGUAAUGAUGAGGGCCAAAAUUCUAUGAGGAGACUCUCCUUUGUGACUUAGGAUCAUGUGUUUUAGUAAUUCGUUAUUUUGCUAGUUAAUUUUCAUGUCUGAUAGUAUUUGUAAUGGAUAAUGGGAUCAGAAACUCUUCUUUUUUAUUAUUAAUCUAGGCUUACUCUAGGAACCCUGUCAUAAUGUCGUAUUGCAUCCCUGGUAUUAAAGGCGUGUUUGAGCUACAAUUGUUGUUUUUCUACCAUUCUAUUUUACAUGAAUUCAGUUGAUGAUGGCAUAACUGCUCUCAAUCGAAGAUGCGGUUCUUUUUAUGCUGCAAGGUGAAAGGUCUAUCUUCAUGUUAUUGACAUAUGUUUACUCGAGUAGUUUCCAUGAAUCAUCAACAGCAGUCAUUUGUGAAAGAAGAUGGGAACAGGUUUUAGUUCCAACAACCUAUUAAAGAUCUGAAAGGCGCGAAUUCAAUUGAAUACUCAUAAAUCCAUGUCCUUCUCAAUAUUCACUGCACAUUCCUCUUAAUCAAUACAGAUAAACAACCAUUAGCAUUAGUAAAUAAGUGAAAAAUUUCCUGCACUCCAACCUAAAACCACCAAAUAAUCUGCGCUAGAAGCAAUGAAAGUCCUUCCUAGAACCUUAAACAUGGAAAAGAACGAAAACCAAUUCUAAACUUCUCAUUAAGAAAAAAUAUCUAGCAAAAGCCACCAAAAUGGUAGUGGCGUAAGAAUGGGGACGACCAACUUAGAAAUUUAGAAGGUUGUCACUCUUGGAACAUCAACUGGGAACUGAUCAAUUUCAGCCAUCCACGGGCUCUUUUCCUUGGCAGGAUCUAUAGUCUUGAGAGCUUUCCACACAGCACUGUUACACUUGAAUCCCGACCCGAAAGCUAUCUGCCAUGUUCUAUCUCCUUUCUUAAUCCUUCCCUUUGCUUCUGUGUAAGCUAACUCAUACCAGAGAGAACUGCUUGAGGUGUUUCCAAAUCGGUAUAGUGUCAUCCUUGAUGGCUCCAUAUGCCAAUCAGACAGAUGCAGGUUCUUCUCCAAUUCAUCCAAGACGGCUCUUCCCCCAGCAUGAAUGCAGAAAUGGUCAAAAGCAAGUCUGAAAUCUGGGAUGUAAGGUUUGAUCUUCAUCUUGAACAGUUUCCUACCCACCAAUGUAGCAAAGAAAAGCAGCUGCUCGGACAUUGGAAGAACAAGAGGCCCCAGUGUGGUGAUAUUGGUCUUCAAAGCAUCACCUGCUACAGCCAUCAGGUCCUUCGAUAGUGUGACACCAAUAUGCCCAGCAUCAUCUUCUUCUUGAGUAACACAGCUAAAGCACUUGUCAUCAGCACCCUUGUGCGUGCGGACAGUAUGGACUAAUUGGUACUUGGACCUCCUUCUGUCUGAGUUUUUGUUUGAAAGAAGUAUAGCAGCCCCUCCCAUCCGGAAUAAGCAAUUUGAAACAAGCUUUGAACGAUCAUUGCCAAAGUACCAGUUCAAUGUAAUGUUCUCCAUGCUGAUAACCAGCGCAUAAGAGUUAGGAUGCACCUGAAGAAGCUUUUGAGCAAGAUCAAUUGAGAUGAGCCCCGCGCUACAUCCCAUUCCACCAAGAUUGUAGCUGACUAUAUUCCCUCGAAGCUGGUAAUGAUUGAUAACCAUGGCAGAAAGAGAUGGAGUUGGAUUGAACAAGCUGCAGUUGACAAUCAAGAUUCCGAUGUCCUUGGGUUUUACAGAUGUCUUGGCAAAUAGCUCGUCAAUGGCACCAUACAUCACUGCCUCAGCUUCUUUCCUGGCUUCUUUCAUUGACGGAUUUGGGGGAAUGUUAAGUACAGCCUCUGGAAGGUAUGUUGAAUCACCAAGGCCGGAUCUCUCAAGGAUCCUUCUCUGGAACUGUAGAUUCUCUUCUGUGAAUGUACCAGUCAUCGUAGACUGAUCCAUGAAAAUCUUUUUCGUGCAUUUUCGAGUUUCUUCUGGCUUGUAACAAGAAAAGUUAACAAGGUACACAGGGCGAGGGCGGGUAAGAAAGUAUACAGUGGAUAGGAACACCAGGAGGGUCGAGCAGAUGAUCACCGAAAUCAGGUUGUAUUGGAGAUGCUCCCAUAGAUCAUAUAGAUCUUGGAGCGAAAAUGUGGAGAGCUGGGCAGCAAUAACAAUGACAAGAGGGGAAAGGAAAAGGUACAUUCCAUGGGUGAUGAGAAUAUGGUAACCAAGCUUCACAUAUUUUAGCUUAAUGGAUUUUUUGAAGUCGGGGAGGUUCCUAUUGUUUGAGGGUCUAGAUGAUGGUGGGAUCAAUGGUGUAUCUGGUUUUGGUUCCGCCAUAUUUCCCUGAUAAACAUACAACACCUCUAAUCAGAUCAAAUGCACAACAAAAUCAUAAACCAAUGUAUUAAUAGAAAAUUAUAAUCACAGAAGAUGAACUACCAGAGACUAAAAAUUAAAUUAGUAAAGGGUGGUUUUCCAGAACAUAAAGGCAAAUUCCAAUAGCUUUUCAAUUGGCAUCCAACCAGAAAUGACUCUUGGAAAGCCAAUGGAGCUUUUCAAAAAAGAAGGUUGUCUAUUAUUUACAGCUACAUAUCACACUGAGAUAAUGAAAAGGCAGAAAGAACACCUAAUGGUCCCAAUCCAAGCACCAAUUCAAAAAUGGUGGAACAGAACAAAAGCUACACACUUUGAUCCUUACAAGUUGGAGCCAAAGUGCUAAACACAAUCCAAACACAACCCCAGAUCAGAUUUUUCCAAUAAAGAACACUUCUUUCCAAACAAAUCAGCAGAUUAACAAACAAUGUUACACAACCCUUAUAAACACUCACACAAAGAACCAAACUUUAUCACAGAAACCAUACAAAUUCACACAUCCAAGAACAGAUCAAACCUCCCAAGAUACAAAACAGAACGUUAUAGAAAAAAGCUGCAAGCUUUGAUAAUGAGGCAAAACCCAGAUCGAAGACUGACCUUGGUUGCCGAAACCCACCACCAGAUCUCACAGGAAUGUCGUCGUCGCCAGCCAAAGACAACCGGAGAGAAACAGGGCAAAAGGGAAUAUGGGAGAGGUUCAAAGUUUGAAGUGAGAUUAUAUUAGAGCUAAAAAUAGGGANNNNNNNNNNNNNNNNNNNNGGCAAAUGCAUUUGCAAUUUUGGGUUUUAGAUAUUUUCUUUCUUCUAUUUUGUGUGUGUUUUCAUUGCUUUUUUCUCAUUUAAGAGGUUGAGAAUAAAGAUGUAGGAAAUCAUUCUAGUGAAGACCCUUAAGUUGAGGAUUUGGUGAGGGCUUUUCGGUUUAUGGUUUAAAAUACCCAAUUUUCGAUCACAUGUUGACAUCUUAUCUGUUCAGUUUUUAGGUUUAUAUGAGUAGAUCAUUUCUACAAAUUUUCACCCAAAUUGGUGUUCAUUAAGAUAACAAACUAGAUCAAAUUAAUGGACGAACCAAAUCUGCCAAAUAUGAACCGUUCAAGUUCAUAAUUGAUAAAUCACACUUAUGAAUGUCUUAACAAUUUUCAAUAUAGCUGAAAAUUUGAAGAAAUGAUAUACUCAUAAAUACCUAUAAACUGAACGGUCAAUAUGUAGAUAUAAGAUCGAAAUGUGGGAUAAACCGAAAAGUCUUUACCAAGUCCUCAACUUAAGGGUCCUCACUAGAAGGGCUCCCUAAAGAUGUAUACCAAAAAGAUAUCAACUUCCAAGUCUGUGUACAUGAAUCAUGUGCCAAUAUUUGUGUGAUAUACAUCUUAUCGGGUUGCAUUAGCUUUCAAGGUCUCUAUGGAUUGUGAAUCGAAAUUUACUCUUAUACAGUUAGUUGUUAGAGUUUAUUGUCUCAUGAAAAUUGUAGCGUUCGAAAAGAUACCAUAAUUUCAUGUCUAGACCCGUUUGGAGAUUUACUACUAUGAAACUCGCAUUCAUCCAAAGUACAGAAAACUAAAAUUUAGAAAGAAAAAAAAAACACCCUCUAGCCUCUGGUUUAUAUGUGGAAAUAAUACCUCCAAUAUUCUUCCCUUUAAUUUUGCUUUUCAAAAUCAAGGUGACAAUACAAAUGGCAUGAUGAUUGGAAAAGAAAAUGUCAAAUUAUUCCCUCUUUGAAUAUGACAAGUGAGAUUGAAGAAGAGUAUAGUGAAAUACAACAAAAUCGAGCCGCCCAUUACAGUUAAGGAGCCGUCAAGAACAAAGCCAGAAGGCUUAUAUUAUAUUUGACUGGUAUACAAUUCAGUGAAUUGGUAAUGUUGUAUAGGGCAGGCAAUUUGAGGAGGGACCAAGCACGAGGUUGAUGACCAGUUGUUCACAUGGAUAUAAAGGUUACAACUCUGUCACUGUCCCUAUUGUCAGCUGCGCUGGCUCCACAUGCUAUGCUGUUCUUCAACUCAAUCCAUGAGCUAUAUCAUCUUCUAAUAACAGAAACAACAAACCAACUUCAACAAUGAAGAAAUUUCCAAGUCUGUCUGUUUAGCAAGAUUUGACAAACUGUUUUAUGAGGAAAUGGUGAGGGUGAGAUGGAAUCUGGGAGAGUUGAAAAGGAAAUGUUGCCAACAAAUUUAUCUUGUGGGGUUAAGUUGGCAUCAACCAUCAAGCAUAAUUCCACCUUUGAUCAAACUUGGUUAAAGAAAAGCAAACUCUAAUACAGGAAAAGAAAUCUUACAGUAGUAACUUGCUGUUGGAGAACAAUGAUAUGAGGGAAAGUUAGUUGAACAAUAGGCAAUGUUGAACAUGCUACUCCAAUGUGAAUUCCUCCAGCCAUAUCAGCACUUCAUUUCUCUAAAAUGCAGUCAGCACCAAAACAACACAAAAGAUCAACCGUUAGAGUGAAGAAAGCAAAAUUCGGUAGGAUUUGGCAAAAAGAGGACUAACAGUACAAAUAAAAGCUUAAUGAUCAAGAUUACUUGCUACUGGUUUUGCUUUGUCUAGAAGGCAGUAGAAGUAACAGCUACCAAGACUACUACAACUAGGGCUAGUAAUCAGGCCAAAGUCGAGUUCAACUUUUCUUGAAAGAGGGUUGCUUGCAGUACUCAUAGACCUUCAAUAUGUGAAAGGGUAGAUAUAUAUCUUGUAACUUAUUAGAUGAAGUUUCAACAGUUGAAAUUUUCUUAGUUGAGGUUUUCUUGAAAACAGGUUUUCUUGCAGUUAUUCCAGAGCUUCAAUGUCAAAGGUAGCUAGAUAUCUUCCAACUUCUUGGAUGAAGUUCCUAUAGUUGGAAUUUUCUUUGGUGAAGAAUUUUCCAUCUUGAAGUUUUCUUUGAUGAAGUUUUCUCCAUAUAUCAUAUAAAAUUAGAGAUAUAUAAGAACACAUUAUCAGACUGGUCACUGAUGUUACAUACCAUUAUAAAGCUCCAAGUUCGGCCAGGGUCAUUGUAACGAGCAAGCAUACACCCGGCCUUAGGUUUGAGACCAUCUCUGAUAAGACUAGCACGCAGCAAAUUCUCCUUUUCACGAACAACAUCUUCGGUAGGCUUCCCACUAAACUUGAUAACAGCAGCAAUGCCUUCUUCCAUUUUUUUCAAGCUAAUUGUUUCUGCAUUAGGAUCUGGUAAACUGGCCACAUCACAUUUUUCUUAUUAAUAUAUAACUCUUCACAAGGACAAAUGUAAGUACGAUAUAUAUCUAACAUCUAUUAAUUCUCCACCUGCUUAAAUCCUUGUCAAGUGGAAGACAUACUUUGAUGGAUACUUUGGAAAAUUCAGCAUCAGAUGCCUCAGUGAACACCGGAGUUGUCAUUGGUAUCUUUUCCAUUUUUGAGUUCUUUCCAAAGAUGUACCUAAGCAAAUCCCAUUUCCAUAUCACAAAAAGAAACAAAAUUUUUUUUUUUUAAAGAAAAUAUAUUUAUAGCACAUGAUUAGCUAAGCUGUAAUGCAAGCACUCACCCAGUAACAUCAUUGAAACCAGCUGAUCCAGACAGCUUGUCUGCACUUCCUUCUACCACUAUAAAAGGGGAGUACUUUCUUACCUGUAGAAUCAAUCCAGGAAUCACCAACAAAACAGUAAAACCAUCCAAUCAAAUAGAGUUACAGAAGAAAACAAAAACCUUCAAAUGUAAUGCAUUUCAUUCAUGAUUCAUCAACUUUAGAGAAUGAAGUCUAAAAGCCCAACUUUUAAUGAAUGCAACAUUAGCCAUUCACUAAGGAGAACACACCUCAUAAUUUGCUGUUCUCUUUAGUAUGUCAUAUUUUGGUGUUUCCAAGUCUGGAGUUUUGUAAAUCCUCAGCUGCAGGGUUUUACAUACAAGAAGAGACUAAGGCAAGAAAGAAUCUUUAUACAUGAUAAUGGAAAGUGUAUAAUGAGUCUGCCAAUACCUGCUUGAAUACAUCUAACAAACCUUCUACAGAAAAAUAGUCAUUCUUCUUAAUGGAAUCCCAGAAGUCCUACAUGUACAUUACAGCAGAUACAUGAACAAUUUUAGAAAUUACGCUGUAUCAUCUACAUUGUACUAUAAAGAGUCAUGAGGUGAAUGAUUGUUACCACAUGGCUGCAGAACUUCCCAGUUUCGGGGUUGAUUCCCAUAACAGAAGUACCAGUGAAGAUCAAUUCUGGUUUCCAAGGCAGAGGGACGAACUUCAUAACCAUAGUCCACCUUGUAGUGAUUUCAUAUGGUCCUGACUAUAUAGCAUCUUAAUCAGUAACUUAAGACAGUCCCACUCCAAUUUCAAGUGGACAUCCACAUGAAUAUGCACAGAUUGAAAACUUUAAACUAAAAGUUUGAGUCUGCACUCAAAUUUUAUUUCCUCAUAUUCAACAUAGUCACAUUAACCUCAUCCAACAUAUAUAUGCAGCUAUGCAUCAUCCAAAAUUCUAAGUUACAUAAUUUCAUUCUAUGAAAAUCAUUGAACUGCACCCAGUUAAAUUCUUAUAUUUAAUUACUCAAUGCCUAAAAUUCCCAAUAUUCUAGUAGUUAAUCUAAUAAGGGAAAGAACACAGGUCCUUUAAACAGUUACCUGUUUUACCCAGUGCAACUGGAACUUGGGAGUGAAGACUGUCUUCAAGAAGGCAAUGUUCAACAAAUAGCCAGUUAUAGAAUCAUGCUUGGUGAUUGGAUCCCUGAACUUCACACGUUCAUCAUACGCCGUCCGAUCAAUUCCUUGAUCAUCAAACAAGUGAACUAAAUCCUGGUACAGAAAAUCGACCACCCUUUCCAUGUCGACGGUUGAUUUUGGCGGGCUUUGGUCUACUAAGCUAAGUCUAACAGCCCACUUUGAGUAGUUUUGCCUUGUUUGAAGCCCCAAGUGUUUGUGUUUCAAGGCUUUGGAACGUGGAUGGCAUGGUAGUUUAUUCGCUUUGGUGGUGCUCAGCCGCCGUAAACUGACGCACACGGCGGGGAUAGGCCUGAAAACUUGGUCGGAAAGCUGUGUGCUAGCCAUUUGGUGGUUGUGGUGGGCGUGUGACUGUGUUGGCUUGGUGCGUGACCAUGCAUUGCUACUAUGAAACAACUUAGCCACAAGUAUUGAUUGGUUGGUGUUCGUUUCUGAAAUUAGUGGCUACAAUUUCUUCAUGUAAACAUAAUUGAAUAGUAGAACUCGUCGUUUGUAAAUACCUUAUGAAAAUGAUAAGGAGAAACACUAGUAUCAUUGUCCUGCAGAUAUGACUUUAAGCUAAAUUCUCCAUUCUAUGGUAGACUAGCACAGUAUUGCAGCACAAUUUCACACUCUCAGUACAAGACUUUACUGAUGAGAAACCCCUCUGUAUAUUUGGCCAUCCAUGAACUUCAAUAUCAUAACUAAUCCAAAACAUAAACACCAAAUAAGUGACCAUUUCCCAUCUCCUAAAUCACACAUUGUGCAGGAGAAAGAUGAAAUGAAGGGCAAGAUUCCUCCUGCCGUAAAUAAGUUGGAUAAGUGAGGGCAUCAAGGACUUUUUCAUUUGCUAAGAAAUUAAAAUGUAGCUGGCUUAGUAUAGAACCCUCUUGUUUCCCAGGGUUCUGACAGGAAUCACAGGAUUAAAUGGCAACAGCCCUCCCUCAGUCUCCCACUCUCAAGACUCCUCUUUCAGGAUGUGUGACGACGAGUGCUAUGAAGGUAAGUCUCUCUUGACCUCUGCAUCCACCUCUAAGCUUGGUUUGUCCAUUUCUAAUGUCAUCACAAAAUGGCUCGAAUCCCUACCCGAAGAAAUCAUACCCAACAUCCUAAUCACACUACCUGUCAAAUCCCUCAUCAGAUUCACCUCUGUCUGUAAAUCUUGGGAGUCCACCAUCAAAAACCCAAAAUUUAUCCACACCCACCUCACCCACACUCUCAAUUCCAAUGACCAAAACGACACCCACCUCAUUCUCUUCCACGAUGUUCAUAGUAAACAUUUCUGUCACUAUCCUAAGUACAAGAAGCCUCUUUCUCUCUGCAUUAUGAUUACACUGCUGCUGUUACUGAGUAUUGCAAGAUUGAGUUUCCAGUAGCUAUCAAGGAAGCAGUCAUGAAUGCUUUUCGUGUUGUGGGUACUUGUAAUGGGCUGGUUUUGCUGGCUGAUGAUUUGGAGGAUUACGGUUACACCUUUGUUGUAUGGAACCCUAGUAUAAGAAGGUAUGUGACCCUUCCCAAGUCCACUAUGAGGUUUUCGAGGCAAGGUACGUAUGUUGGUCCGGUUGGUCUGGGUUAUGAUGCUGUUGGUAAUGACUAUAAGGUUGUGAGACUUACCACCCUUUUUAAGAAAGAGAAUCCUUGUCGGCCUGAUAUUUGGCCCACUUCAGUUGAGGUUUAUUCACUCGCCAAGGGCAUUUGGAGCACGGUCAGUCCUCCUCAAUGUAUUGUUCUUCAUUACUCCGCUGCUCAGGUUUUCGUCAAUGGGGCACUUCACUGGAUGGCUAAGCAUUGCCAUUGGAUAGAUGAGAUGGUACAUAUAGACUCUUUCAUUUUGACAUUUGAUGUGGCUGCUGAGUCAUUUGGAGAGAUAAUGUUGCCCAAGGGCUUCGAAUCAGAGGAGGCACAGUUGUCUACGUUGUCUGAUUCUGGAGAUAGAAAUUCUAUUGCUCUGUUUGUGAGGAAUGAGGUUCCGGGUGCUUUUGGUCUUGAAUAUUGGGUAAUGAAAGAGUACAGUGAGGAGAAAUCAUGGACAAAGUUGAUGGUUUUUGGUCCACAUGAUCGGUGGAUAAAUGUACCCAGGGUAUUGUGUUUUAGGAGGAGUGGUGAAGUGAUGUUGUUACUUAAGGAUGGCCAUACAGUUUCACUUGACAUUGUGAGCGAAGAAUUUAAACAUCUAGGGAUGUAUGGAGGGGACCUUAGCUCUGUUCACUCUUAUGAAGAGAGCCUUGUCUUGCUUGAAAGGAAAGAUGUUGUUUCUUACUGAGGCAAUGAACCAAGUAAGGUGAUUAUUUCUUGAACUUACCUUUGCUGAUAGCUUCUAAUUUUAAUGCAUAUGCUGCUAAUUGUAUAUGAUCUAUGACGAUUGGAUUUUACCUCAGCCACAAAGUUUGAUAUUGUGUAUGCUGAUUGCUUUGAUUGCUCUGUGCGUCAUGUAUUAUAUUUUUUCUUUGCCACAAGUUUGUUGUUCGUGUCUUUCUGGUGUUUCGUUAGGAACUUGCUAUAAUAUUGUUUUAAAUGUUUUCCUGUCUUAGCUAAUUGUCUUUCUUGUUCUGUCGUUUUGAGAACAGAGACUAGUAACCAAGUUGAUUAGAAAUCAAGCAAACCAACUUCAGAACAAUUCGCUGUACUUUAUGUUUGGAAAACAAGACUUAAAUGAGUAACUACUCAUAUCAUAUCAUUGCUUUCUCCGUGUUUUCUAUAAUAUCUGUUUGGUAUUACCUUAGACAGUAGAGUGUGGUCUCCAAGGAACUGUUGAGGCUACUGCAUUGUAUUUGAAAUUACAUGUUUUUAUUUGCUGUUGUUAACUGACCAUAUUAUCUCUGUCGAUGAUGUGUACUUGUCACUUUGAAUCGUUCCCAACCAACCAUAUUAUCUGGUCGAUUGAUUUGUUAGUUUUUGAUGACUACUUGUUACUUUUAAUAUGAAUAUGGCACAAAUCAUGCUAUUUGAUUUUCUAUUUGCAUAGGCAGCAUCAUAUGAAAGCUGAUGAAAUGUGGGAUACCAAAAUUAAGACCGAGUAAUAGUUGCAACUUUCUACUCUAAUUUCUGUAGAUUUUCUUUGUUUAUCAAUAUUUGGAUUGAAUUUCCAUGGCAUUAUCUUUUUCUUUUCUGGGUUGAAUUACCUCCGUUUUACAUUACAUGCCUUGGCAAUCUUGAGCUGAUUAUCAUCCUACAUCUCUGUCAUCAACUGUGAACCACAUACUUUCCCUUCACUUCACUCUCUAGUCUCUAUGUUGUGUUAAUACAAAUAUCUGAACAAAGCGUUGAAAAGUGUUCUACUACCACUUCCGGUGCGUUCAUGCAGCAUCCCUUUUGGGACUCCAUAGCAUUUGGGACUCCAUUUGUAUAAUAUAACUUGCUGAAGCAUUUAUUCAAUUGUGUGCAGGUCAGACAUUGGGACACAUGACUUUCAAGACUGUUUUUUGUAGCUGUGAAGUGUGAGAAUCUGAUGCAUGGGUUUGCAAUUUCAGUCACUCCAUCUACCGACUGAACUUUUGAAGUGCAUCUAUAUAGGAUAUGUAGUCCCAUCUAGUAUGGGUAUGUAAUCCUAACAUGACUCGCUUCUAAUUUGGAUCUUCCAUCAGACUUAUCAGUAGUUAUUAGUAUUCUCGUGUGUAACAAUAUUUCAACUGAAUAGAUUACCCUCUAUCUUAAUCGUUUACGCGAUCUCUUGUGGUUUUUCUUAACCGCAUCCAAAGCUUGAUGCUUACAAGCUUUGGAAUAUGGAGAAUGGCCUAAAUUUGCCUUUGCUACUUGUGAAUUCUUUCAUGCUUGUGUCUUUGCUAUUCCACAUUCUAUUGAAAGAUCCUUUAGACAUUGAGAACAGGUCAACUUGCGGAACAUGAUUCACCUUCGAUUAAUCAGGGAUGACACUAAGAAAUUGAUACUAGGAGAGAAAUUUGACAUAUGCUAAGUAUCAGAAGUCUCUCAAUAUACCCUGAAUUGAUUCCCUCAAAGAUUGAUGUGAAAUUGAAAGAAAGAACCAGUAUCAUACUCACUUCAAGCUAAUUUCUCCAAUCUAUGCUAGACUAGCACAUUCUUGCAGCACAAUUCCACACUCUAGCACACGACUUCACUGAUGAGAAACGCGCCAAGCAUAUCAUCAUUCCCCUAUAUACACACUUCAAUAUCCCAACAAGGCUGUUGUAUUGCCAAGUUGGGCUCUUUCAUUACGGACUUUGGUGGUGGUUCAACGGGGCCGUGACUGGAGUAAAGCCCAUAUGCAUUGCAAAUUGCUUUUCGGCUAUGAGACAUCUUACCCACAAGUUGAUUGGUUGGUGUUCAUUUCUGUUUACAUCCUUAAAUAUAUUAUGCAAAACUAUUAAGAUAAAGAUUUUAAACUAAAUAUUUCAAUACUAACCUCACAAUCAAGAAUUUUUGUGAAAAUAUAAUAUUAAACUAAAAUCAAUAAAAUCCAAACAACAACAAUUCUCUACAUCUUUACAUCAAAAAAAAAAAAACAAUUCUCUACAUCUUUUAAAUCAGAUUUGAGAAUAUACAAUGUGGUGGGAUUGUUCGUUCUUAUUUUUAUUUUAUUUAUGGCUUCAAAUGUAGUCUUUCAUAUAUAUAAUCGUAAAGAAGGAAGUCAAUAAAGAGAUCAAGGAGAAUAUAUAUAGGAUGUGGUUUGUGAAUAAAUAGAGGUAUGCGUUAAAUAUAUUGAUGAUAUAUUUUUAUAUUUUAUCAGAUUGAGGAAAAUAAAAUAAAGAAAAUAAAAACCAGAUUUUCUCUCAUAAUUUUGAGGGCAGAAUUAGAACGUUAAAGAUAAAAAAUAAGACGUGGGGUGAACUAAGCAUUUAGUGGGGUGGAAAUAGCCGCACCCUAAAAUAUUUGUAAAAAAUGUUCUAAAAGGUGCUAAAAACCAAGAAUAAGAAAACUCAUUAUUUGUAAAUUAAAGUGCAUAUCUUAAAUCAUUUUUGUCUAAGUAAAAGCAGGCAUGAAUCGAGAAUCUUAAACCACAAUAAUAUCAUACAACAAUUCUCAAAUAGAAAGAUCAUAGCCCCAUAAAUUACAAAAUUUGCUCACUCAUAUCCACCACUAAAGUAAUAUAUGUACAUUGCAUUUGUGUAGAGAACUACUAUAAAUUUAGGAAAAUUCAUACCUGUCCAAACUUUUUGACUGUUAUAUGUACACGUUUGUAAAACAUUGCCAUAUAAAGUGAACGUUGGACAUGCAUUAGAAAAACACAUUCUUCCACACUCUUGACACAAGUCGUCACUGACGAGAAACGCGCCAAGAAGCAUCAUCCCUCUAUAUAUAUGCCCAUCCAUGAACUUCAAUUCCAUAACCAAUCCAAAGCAUACACACCAAAGCUCCCAUUUCCCUCAUCUCCUAAUUCAGACUCUUCAUUUCAUAAGAAAACCCAUCAUCCAAAACCUCCAAAUCAACAGUCCAAACUAGAAGGAUGUCGAAAAUGUUUGCCCUUUCAAAGUUCGAGACUGCCUCAAUAUCAUGGUGGAAGAAGCAUGGAGAUGGAGACGACGACGGUGAUGAUGGAUACGACUAUGCCCCAGCGGCAUCAGCAUGCAUGGAAGGCGACAGCGAUGACGACGAUUCCGACUAUGAUUAUGCUCCGGCGGCCUCUACGGAAGGCGAUGACGACGACGAUGAUGGUGGUUAUGAUUAUGCUCCAGCUGCAUAAGAGCUGUGUAACUAGCAAUUCAGUCGAAAUUGCUUAUAUUAAUUCUUGAUAUGAGAUCGAGUGGCAUUUCUAUCACAGGGUUAUUUGCAAACCCCUAAGUAUUUUCUGACGGCCUUUGUAGCUCGUCAGAUGUUAUAGGGUAUUAUGUAUCAAUUUCUGAUCAGUAAACCUCUGAAUUAUGGUCCUCUACUACUCUAAUUUCGUUUUUUGUUUGAAACUCGAAGAUGCUAAUUAAGUAUUAACAUGAGCAAAUGUGGUUUGUGACACUGUUUCCUUUCAAUGAUCGAAGUCUGUAAUAGUUUCAAGCACACAAUAAGUCUCAUUUCCCUAUCUGCAAGUUUGCUUAAUUAGUGAAAUAGAAAUACUUUACAUGGAUGAUUUGAUCAUCACUUACUAAAUGAAACUACUUGACUAUCAAUUCGAGGAACCUGGAGAAACCAAAUUUGUUCAUAUGCUGUUGUUAUUUUCCAUCUUUCUUGUAAUGGCUCAGCUCACCCCGCACUUGCUUUAUCAUGAUAUUCUCUUCCUUUACCUUUUCAAUUAUAAUUCUAAUGUAUUUCUCUAAGUGGUCACUUUACUUAUCAUCUGCUAUAAACUAAAUUCAAACUUUCUGGGAUUGCUGACGAAGAGCUUAGUAUUCGACGAGCUACUAA